Molecule: unclassified non-coding RNA, 290 nt
Filed under: Hevea brasiliensis (rubber tree)
Lineage: Eukaryota; Viridiplantae; Streptophyta; Magnoliopsida; Malpighiales; Euphorbiaceae
Source: RNAcentral
GAAAUUUUAUGGUUUCUAUAAAAAUCUAGUCAAUGAGGUAGGCCUAGCAUAGAAAUGUUCAAGAAGAUAUAACAGUUCAAUAGGAAUUAACUGCUGGGUAUGACAGUCAAGUUCUUUUAUUGAGGUUUGUCACUUAGGAAGGAUGAUUUUCUGUUCUGUGUUUUCAAGAAAUCAUGAACUUAUAUAUUAGUUUAUGAAUAUAUGGUUUAAGAAGAGGGUUCAGUAUAUUUACAUGAUCUACAUACUCACAAUUGGGUAUUGUUUGCAGGGGAUCUUGGUCAGAGUUUUGA